This 465-nucleotide ribosomal RNA is filed under the name uncultured bacterium. RNAcentral's name for it is "partial 16S ribosomal RNA". It matches the Rfam family "Bacterial small subunit ribosomal RNA", at positions 28 to 507 of the family's 1533-position model. The record is from RNAcentral.
GACGAACGCUGGCGGCGUGCUUAACACAUGCAAGUCGUACGGUAAGGCCCUUUCGGGGGUACACGAGUGGCGAACGGGUGAGUAACACGUGAGUAACCUGCCCACAACUUUGGGAUAACGCUAGGAAACUGGUGCUAAUACUGGAUAUGUGCUCCUGCUGCAUGGUGGGGGUUGGAAAGCUCCGGCGGUUGUGGAUGGACGCGCGGCCUAUCAGCUUGUUGGUGGGGUAGUGGCCUACCGAGGCGGCGACGGGUAGCCGGCCUGAGAGGGUGACCGGCAACAUUGGGACUGAGAUACGGCCCAGACUCCUACGGGAGGCAGCAGUGGGGAAUAUUGAGCAAUGGGCGCAAGCCUGAUGCAGCAACGCCGCGUGCGGGAUGACGGCCUUCGGGUUGUAAACCGCUUUCAGCAGGGACGAAGCUUUUUGUGACGGUACCUGCAGAAGAAGCACCGGCUAACUACGUG